GCAGCCUACCUGCGUUGCAGGUAGCGAAGACCAGCGCAGCCAGCAGGAUCGUCGCCGUGAAAAGUGUUUAUCUACGGAAGCUUUUUGUGCAGCUUUGCUGAAUCAGUGCCGGCGCAAGCUUCGCUUGCUCCAAAACAGUAGGUUGCCCGCCUACUUGCUGCUUGCAGCCCCGUUUCAGCGAAAGCAGCGAUACCUUUUGCCGAAACUUCGUCGACUACGUUGCCAAAGGGCCAUGCGAAGCAGAUUGGACUCCGCAACCGUGUGCGCUACCAGCGAAGCUGGCCAACCAGC
This 291-nucleotide long non-coding RNA is filed under the name Amborella trichopoda. Its description in RNAcentral is "long non-coding RNA (ATRI_LNC004355)". Lineage: Eukaryota; Viridiplantae; Streptophyta; Magnoliopsida; Amborellales; Amborellaceae. The record is from RNAcentral.